Molecule: transfer RNA, 66 nt
Filed under: Trichopria drosophilae
Lineage: Eukaryota; Metazoa; Arthropoda; Insecta; Hymenoptera; Diapriidae
Description: tRNA-Cys
Source: RNAcentral
AGUUUUAUAAUUUAAUAAAAUAUUAAAUUGCAAAUUUAAAAUUAAUAUAAUUUAUAUUUAAAACUU